Molecule: ribosomal RNA, 387 nt
Filed under: uncultured bacterium
Lineage: Bacteria
Description: bacterial SSU rRNA
Rfam family: Bacterial small subunit ribosomal RNA
Source: RNAcentral
GACGAACGCUGGCGGCGUGCUUAACACAUGCAGGUCGAGCGGUAAGGCCCCUUCGGGGGUACACGAGCGGCGAACGGGUGAGUAACACGUGGGUGACCUGCCCUCAGCUCUGGGAUAAGCCUGGGAAACUGGGUCUAAUACCGGAUAUGACUCCAUGACGCAUGUCGUGGGGUGGAAAGCCUUGUGCGGCUGGGGAUGGGCCCGCGGCCUAUCAGCUUGUUGGUGGGGUGAUGGCCUACCAAGGCGACGACGGGUAGCCGGCCUGAAAGGGCGACCGGCCACACUGGGACUGAGACACGGCCCAGACUCCUACGGGAGGCAGCAGUGGGGAAUAUUGGACAAUGGGCGAAAGCCUGAUCCAGCAACGCCGCGUGAGGGAUGACGGCC